GCCGGGUGCAGUGGUGUGCACCUAUAGUCUCAGCUACUUGGGAGGCUGAGGCAGGAGGAUCCCUUGAGCCCAUGAGUUUGAGGCUGCAGUGAGCUAGGAUCGUAGCACUGCACUCCAGCCUGGGCAACAGAGUGAGACCCUGUCUCAA
This 148-nucleotide non-coding RNA is filed under the name Chlorocebus sabaeus (green monkey). The record is from Rfam by way of RNAcentral. Lineage: Eukaryota; Metazoa; Chordata; Mammalia; Primates; Cercopithecidae.